Molecule: ribosomal RNA, 486 nt
Filed under: uncultured bacterium
Lineage: Bacteria
Description: bacterial SSU rRNA
Rfam family: Bacterial small subunit ribosomal RNA
Source: RNAcentral
AACGAACGCUGGCGGCGCGCCUAAUACAUGCAAGUCGAGCGAGAAGACGUAGCAAUACGUUUGUAAAGCGGCGAACGGGUGAGGAAUACAUGGGUAACCUACCCUCGAGUGGGGAAUAACUAGCCGAAAGGUUAGCUAAUACCGCGUACGCUCCUUGGACUUCGGUUCAGGGAGGAAAGCGAUACCGUGGGUAUCGCGCUCUUGGAUGGGCUCAUGUCCUAUCAGCUUGUUGGUGAGGUAACGGCUCACCAAGGCUUCGACGGGUAGCUGGUCUGAGAGGACGAUCAGCCACACUGGCACUGCGACACGGGCCAGACUCCUACGGGAGGCAGCAGUGGGGAAUCUUGCGCAAUGGGCGAAAGCCUGACGCAGCAACGCCGCGUGCGGGACGACGGCCCUCGGGUUGUAAACCGCUUUCAGCAGGACGAUGAUGACGGUACCUGCAGAAGAAGCUCCGGCCAACUACGUGCCAGCAGCCGCAGUAAC